RNAcentral lists this ribosomal RNA (646 nucleotides) under Lactifluus sainii. Its description in RNAcentral is "eukaryotic LSU rRNA". The stretch from base 214 to 367 matches the Rfam family "5.8S ribosomal RNA". The record is from RNAcentral. Lineage: Eukaryota; Fungi; Basidiomycota; Agaricomycetes; Russulales; Russulaceae.
UUCGUAGGUGAACCUGCGGAAGGAUCAUUAUCGUACAACGGGGAGGCGCCGGCGCUGUCGCUGGCCUUAGGUCGUGCACGCCCCGAGCGUUUCUCCUUCACAUCCACUUCACCUUUGUGCACCGCCGCGUGGGCUCCUCGUUCAAAGAGGAGCUUGCGUUCUCACAGACACCCUUUUGACAUCAGUGUAGAAUGUCUUGAUUUCAUAUAAUAUAACUUUCAACAACGGAUCUCUUGGCUCUCGCAUCGAUGAAGAACGCAGCGAAACGCGAUACGUAAUGUGAAUUGCAGAGUCCAGUGAAUCAUCGAAUCUUUGAACGCACCUUGCACCCCUUGGCAUUCCGAGGGGUACACCCGUUUGAGUGUCGUGAAAUCCUCAACCUUUCUCUUUCAUCGGGAAAGGCUUGGACUUUGGAGGUUUCUGCUGGCCUGCCAGCUCCUCUUAAAUGGAUGAGCAGGGUCCCUUUCGCCGAUCCUCGACGUGAUAAGGAUAUUUUUUUAUACGUCCGGGGUUUUGGCUCUCGAGGCUCGCUUCUAAUCGUCUCGUUGAGACAGUUGGUCGGGGGUUGCCCCUUGACCUGUGAACCAUCUGACCUCAAAUCGGGUGAGACUACCCGCUGAACUUAAGCAUAUCAAUAAGCGGAGGA